This 619-nucleotide ribosomal RNA is filed under the name uncultured bacterium. RNAcentral describes it as "partial 16S ribosomal RNA". The record is from RNAcentral.
ACGGUUACCUUGUUACGACUUAGCCCCAGUCACCGGUUUUACCCUAGGGCGCUCCUUGCGGCAGCGCACUUCAGGCACCCCCGGCUUCCAUGGCUUGACGGGCGGUGUGUACAAGGCCCGGGAACGUAUUCACCGCGCCGUGGCUGAUGCGCGAUUACUAGCGAAUCCAGCUUCAUGGAGUCGGGUUGCAGACUCCAAUCCGAACUGAGACAGGCUUUCGGGUUCCGCUCCCUGUCGCCAGGUGGCUUCCCGCUGUACCUGCCAUUGUAACACGUGUGUCGCCCCGGACGUAAGGGCCGUGCUGAUUUGACGUCAUCCCCGCCUUCCUCGCAGCUUGCGCCGGCAGUCUCGACAGAGUCCUCAGCCUAACCUGUUAGCAACUGUCGAUGGGGGUUGCGCUCGUUAUGGCACUUAAGCCGACACCUCACGGCACGAGCUGACGACAACCAUGCAGCACCUCGACACAGGCUCCGUAGAGCCGACCCCUUUCAGGGCCGUUCCUGUGUCGUUUGAGCCCGGGUAAGGUUCCUCGCGUAUCAUCGAAUUAAACCACAUGUUCCUCCGCUUGUGCGGGCCCCCGUCAAUUCCUUUGAGUUUCACCGUUGCCGGCGUACUCCCC